CCUAGAUCCCAGCUGCAGACCCCGCAAUCGCCCAGCCCUGCUGGGCUUCUGUGUCCGCCCUUCGCGUGACUGGCUUGACCUGGCCACAGCCCCUAAGCAGCGCUGCGGGGUCCGCGGGUCUCCCCUCUCCGUCCUCGCGUGCGUGAUCUUUGACGCCCUCGGGCCCAGCUCCUCAACCUUGCCCUCCUGCAGAUACAGGCUCGGAGUCCCGAGGCUGCCUAGACGCCGCGCGAGAAGAGCAAACGACAGACCACUGCUUUUAAUUGUUAAAGAGUCUACCAGACCAGAAUUUCAACUCCUUUGUUGGGGAUUCCACCACACUGGCUCCAGAAUUCCAGACCUUUCUAUCCAGGCCACCAAUUAAGCUACAACCUCAGUGCUUUCUUCAGUUUCUUUGCCCUGUGCAGUCUCCUAUGUGCAGCAGGAACUGACUUCAUCGUUCCUGAGAGCUGAAAUGGGCCGAGACUACCACCUGGCAAAAAAAUUAUGUCAGAUGAUCCUCAUCUAUGAACCAGAAAAUCCUGAGGCCAAGGAGUUUUCCUCACUUAUUGAAGAAUUGCUGCUGAAGGAGGAAGCUCAGAACCUGGAGGAAAACGAAGAGGAUAGUGAAGAAGACAGCAGCACCGAGAGCGAGGACAGCAGUGAGGACCUGAGCGGGGAGAGCUCUGACGAGCGCAAGGACGGGCCGUGACCGUCGCUGCUGCGGUUUAAGCGUCGUGCAUUUUCAUUAUUGUAUACCAUACAAAUAUAAAGAAGACUCUUGCUCUAUCUUG
This 773-nucleotide long non-coding RNA is filed under the name Cavia porcellus (domestic guinea pig). Its description in RNAcentral is "lncRNA (ENSCPOG00000004155.4)". Lineage: Eukaryota; Metazoa; Chordata; Mammalia; Rodentia; Caviidae. The record is from RNAcentral.